AGAUUGAACGCUGGCGGAAUGCUUUACACAUGCAAGUCGAACGGCAGCACGGGACUCAGGCAACUGAGCCCUGGUGGCGAGUGGCGAACGGGUGAGUAACAUAUCGGAACGUACCCAGUCGUGGGGGAUAACUCUCCGAAAGGAGAGCUAAUACCGCAUACGUCCUGAGGAGAAAGCGGGGGACCUAAGGGUAACUGAGGGCCUCGCGCGAUUGGAGCGGCCGAUAUCGGAUUAGCUAGUUGGUGAGGUAAAGGCUCACCAAGGCGACGAUCCGUAGCGGUCGUGAGAGGACGACCCGCCACACUGGAACUGAGACACGGUCCAGACUCCUACGGAGGCAGCAGUGGGAAUUUGGACAAGUGGGGCAACCGUGAUCCAGCCAUUCCGCGUGAGUGAAGAGUCCUA
This 405-nucleotide ribosomal RNA is filed under the name uncultured soil bacterium. RNAcentral's name for it is "bacterial SSU rRNA". It matches the Rfam family "Bacterial small subunit ribosomal RNA", at positions 26 to 417 of the family's 1533-position model. The record is from RNAcentral.